This 479-nucleotide ribosomal RNA is filed under the name uncultured Alteromonadales bacterium. RNAcentral describes it as "bacterial SSU rRNA". It matches the Rfam family "Bacterial small subunit ribosomal RNA", at positions 30 to 505 of the family's 1533-position model. Lineage: Bacteria; Pseudomonadati; Pseudomonadota; Gammaproteobacteria; Alteromonadales. The record is from RNAcentral.
AUUGAACGCUGGCGGCAGGCCUAACACAUGCAAGUCGAGCGAGAAAGCACUUCGGUGCGAGUACAGCGGCGGACGGGUGAGUAACGCGUAGGAAUCUACCCAGUAGUGGGGGACAACAGUCGGAAACGGCUGCUAAUACCGCAUACGCCCUACGGGGGAAAGCGGGGGAUCUUCGGACCUCGCGCUAUUGGAUGAGCCUGCGUUGGAUUAGCUUGUUGGUGAGGUAAAAGCUCACCAAGGCGACGAUCCAUAGCUGGUCUGAGAGGAUGAUCAGCCACACUGGAACUGAGACACGGUCCAGACUCCUACGGGAGGCAGCAGUGGGGAAUAUUGCGCAAUGGGGGCAACCCUGACGCAGCCAUGCCGCGUGUGUGAAGAAGGCCCUAGGGUUGUAAAGCACUUUCAAUUGGGAAGAAAAGCUGCUGGUUAAUAGCCAGUAGCCCUGACAUUACCUUUAGAAGAAGCACCGGCUAACUCCG